UCCCCUUCGGGGGGUGAGUAGAGUGGCGUCCGGGUGAGUAACGCGUAGGUAAUCUACCUUUGGGUGGGGAAUAACGCAGGGAAACUUGCGCUAAUACCGCAUAAUGCAGCGGCACCACAUGGUGACAGUUGUUAAAGCGGGGGAUUUUCGGACCUCGCGCCUAAAGAGGAGCCUGCGGCAGAUUAGCUAGUUGGUAAGGUAACGGCUUACCAAGGCGACGAUCUGUAGCCGGCCUGAGAGGGCGGUCGGCCACACUGACACUGACAUACGGGUUAGACUCCUACGGGAGGCAGCAGUCGGGAACUUUGGGCAAUGGGCGAAAGCCUGACCCAGCAACGCCGCGUGAAGGAUGAAAUCCCUCGGGAUGUAAACUUCGCAAGAAUAGGAAGAAUGAACGAGCGCUAAUACCGUUCGUGAUGACGGUACUAUUUGUAAGCUCCGGCUAACUCCGUGCCAGCAGCCGCGGUAAUACGGGGGGAGCAAGCGUUGUUCGGAUUUACUGGGCGUAAAGGGCGCGUAGGCGGCCAGCGCAAGUCAGUUGUGAAAUCUCCGGGCUUAACUCGGAACGGUCAACUGAUACUGCGCGGCUAGAGUGCGGAAGGGGCAACUGGAAUUCACGGUGUAGCA
RNAcentral lists this ribosomal RNA (627 nucleotides) under uncultured Verrucomicrobiota bacterium. Its description in RNAcentral is "bacterial SSU rRNA". It matches the Rfam family "Bacterial small subunit ribosomal RNA", at positions 74 to 680 of the family's 1533-position model. Lineage: Bacteria; Pseudomonadati; Verrucomicrobiota. The record is from RNAcentral.